This 1750-nucleotide long non-coding RNA is filed under the name Sus scrofa (pig). RNAcentral describes it as "lncRNA (ENSSSCG00025076098.1)". The record is from RNAcentral. Lineage: Eukaryota; Metazoa; Chordata; Mammalia; Artiodactyla; Suidae.
AACAAAAGAAGACCCAAAGCAGAGAAGCCAGCUGCCCUGUAGCUGCCAAUUUCCUCUCAAAAAACCUGCCAAAGCAUUUCAGAGCCUGGCCCAUUCUAGCCCAUAGCUGAGCCCAGAGGGAGUUGGUUCUUGGUUUAAAUGAUGGCAAAGUGGGAAACAGCUCUGACAGACAAACAUGACAACCUGCCCCAUCUGGAUCAGCACUUCUCACAGGCAUUUUAGUCACCGUAACCAUCUCUUUCCACAUCCUGAAGGAGCCAACUCAAAGACAGCAGAGAGGCCUUGCAAAACAGAGCUGAGAUGCAGUUUGAGUGAACUCAUUUUCAUCUGCCUCUGAACUGCAGCCACUACCUACUCCAGACUUUUCCGAGAGUAACAGUCUAUGAAGAGAGAAGGAAUGCCAGGAGGCUUAAGGAAUUGGGAAAGAAAGGUUGGGGAUUCUUGAAAGAACUUCAGUUCAGAAUUGCUUCCAAGCUCUGCCUAGCUCUGGUAAUGUUUUCCUUAUUUGCCUGUGGAAGUGAGAAAAGCUGAAGGCAGAUUUCCUGUCCUAAGGAAGCUAGCUCCAAGACACAGACUUUUCUGCUCAGACAUCAGCUAAAAUUAAACUGUACAUGUUACAGCAUGGAUGAACUUUGAAAAUAUUAUGCUCAGGGAAAGAAGUCAGACACAGAAGGCCACAUUGUGUGAUUCCAUCUAUCUGGAAUGUCGAGAAUAGGCAAAUCCACAGACAGAAGAUAGAUGAGGGGUUAGCAGGGAGCUGGGGGAUGAGGGUAAUGAUGAGUGACCACUAAUGAGUACAGUUUCUUCGGGGGGUAAUGAAAAUAUUCUGGAACUAGACAGUAAUGACAGUUGGUGAGUAUGCCCCAAACCACUGAAUUGUACACUUUAAAUGGUACCACUUUAUAGUAUGAGAAUUAUAUUGUAAUAUUUUUUAAGGGGGGGGGGACCAAACUGCAGUCAGUACCUUGACCUCAGAGAGGAGGCUCCUGCUCUUUAGAGCAGUGGUCCUUCAAACACGGUCCCCAGACCAACAGGAUCAGCAUCACUGAGAAAUUACCAGAAAUGCAAAUACGCAGGCUCCAUCCCAGACCACACAAUUAGAUGGGGCCCUAUAAUCUACGCUUUGAGAAGCCCUCCGGGUGAACAUCAUGUAUGUUCUCAAGAACCAUUACUUUUCUCCUCUUUUUCUUUUUCAUGACCUUUUAAAAAUGUAAAAACCAUUCAGUUCCCAGGCACACCAAAACAGAUAAUAGGAGUUCCCACUGUGGUUCAGCAGAAAUGAACCUGACUAGUGUCCAUGAUGUGGGUUCAAUCCCUGGCCCGGCUUAGUGGGUUGAGGAUCCAGUGCUGCCAUGAGCUAUGGUGUAAGCCAGAACUGGCGUUGCUGUGCCUGUGGCGUAGGCCAGCAGCUGUAGCUCCGAUACUUAGACCCCCAGCCUGGAAACUUCCAUGUGCCGCACCUUCGGCCCUACAAUAAAUAAAUAAAUAAAUUUAAAAAACAGGUAACAGGGAGUUCCUGUCGUGGUGCAGUGGUUAACGAAUCCGACUAGGAACCAUCAGGUUGCGGGUUCGAUCCCUGCCCUUGCUCAGUGGGUUAAGUAUCUGGUGUUGCCGUGAGCUGUGGUGUAGGUUGCAGACGCAGCUCGGAUCCCACAUUGCUGUGGCUCUGGCGGAGGCUGGCGGCUACAGCUCCAAUUCGACCCCUAGCCUGGGAACCUCCAUUUGCCGUGGGAGAGGCCCAAGAAAUGGC